UACGUAGGGUGCGAGCGUUAAUCGGAAUUACUGGGCGUAAAGCGUGCGCAGGCGGUUUUGUAAGACAGAUGUGAAAUCCCCGGGCUUAACCUGGGAACUGCGUUGGAAACUGAAAGACUAGAGUGCGGCAGAGGGGGGUAGAAUUCCACGUGUAGCAGUGAAAUGCGUAGAUAUGUGGAGGAAUACCGAUGGCGAAGGCAGCCCCCUGGGUCGACACUGACGCUCAUGCACGAAAGCGUGGGUAGCAAACAGG
This 253-nucleotide ribosomal RNA is filed under the name uncultured bacterium. Its description in RNAcentral is "partial 16S ribosomal RNA". It matches the Rfam family "Bacterial small subunit ribosomal RNA", at positions 524 to 776 of the family's 1533-position model. The record is from RNAcentral.